UCCUAGAAUAUAGAUUAGAUUUGGGCUAUAACAAUCAUUGAGCCAUCCGGCCCAUUUGCAAUCGUACCUAUGCGGAUGCAGUGCAUAUUUGGAUCAAGCACCAAACCAGGUUUUUACUGCAGUUGAUGGAGGUAAUGGUUAAUUCAGGUGUCUUAUUGCCUAUUUUCUCCCAACAGCCUGAGGAAAACCUCAACCACGGUACGUUCGUACAUGAAAAUUAUUUUUUCCAACAAGUCAUUUAUAGCAUCCGUAAAGAAAAGAUCCGAGGGAAACAACAAUAUUAAUUCGAGUCAACUUCAUUCACAUCGUGACAUUGCUGGAGGAAGGUUCACAGCAUCUGCCUGCAUGGAAGUUUGGGAAAAAGUCUACAAAUUAGCUUUUGGGAUUAAAUUGCCGUGUUACAUGCAAGUGUUGGACCAAUUCACAGCCGCUUUUUUCUUGCAAGUGACACCAUUUCACGGUUAGUCUUUUGAGCAGUUAUGGUUAGACCUUUAUAUUUGGAGCUUGAUGUGACUUUUAAGCGUGAGUAAGAUGUGGACAGGUUACUCAUGUCAACAGGGGAGUGCCAACGAAAUUUUAGGUGGUGGUC
This 589-nucleotide long non-coding RNA is filed under the name Elaeis guineensis (African oil palm). Its description in RNAcentral is "long non-coding RNA (EGUI_LNC073092)". Lineage: Eukaryota; Viridiplantae; Streptophyta; Magnoliopsida; Arecales; Arecaceae. The record is from RNAcentral.